UACGUAGGGGGCAAGCGUUGUCCGGAUUUAUUGGGCGUAAAGAGCGUGUAGGCGGCCAUGUAAGUCCGUUGUGAAAACUCGAGGCUCAACCUCGAGACGCCGAUGGAAACCAUGUGGCUAGAGUCCGGAAGAGGAGAGUGGAAUUCCUGGUGUAGCGGUGAAAUGCGCAGAUAUCAGGAAGAACACCCGUGGCUAAGGCGGCUCUCUAGUACGGUACUGACGCUGAGACGCGAAAGCGUGGGGAGCGAACAGG
Molecule: ribosomal RNA, 253 nt
Filed under: uncultured bacterium
Lineage: Bacteria
Description: partial 16S ribosomal RNA
Rfam family: Bacterial small subunit ribosomal RNA
Source: RNAcentral